Molecule: ribosomal RNA, 253 nt
Filed under: uncultured bacterium
Lineage: Bacteria
Description: partial 16S ribosomal RNA
Rfam family: Bacterial small subunit ribosomal RNA
Source: RNAcentral
UACGUAGGGUGCAAGCGUUGUCCGGAAUUAUUGGGCGUAAAGAGCUCGUAGGCGGUUCGUCACGUCGGCUGUGAAAACCUGAGGCUCAACCUCAGGCCUGCAGUCGAUACGGGCGGACUCGAGUUCGGCAGGGGAGACUGGAAUUCCUGGUGUAGCGGUGAAAUGCGCAGAUAUCAGGAGGAACACCGGUGGCGAAGGCGGGUCUCUGGGCCGAUUCUGACGCUGAGGAGCGAAAGCGUGGGGAGCGAACAGG